UACCUGUCCCCGCCCUAAUGUGUUGCACCUGUGUCUCAUUGUCUCUCCUGUAUUGUCUAUUUAAGUUCAGUCUUCCCCUUACCCCAGUGCAAGAUUGUCUGCUUCCCCUGUCUACAGU
Long non-coding RNA from Etheostoma spectabile (orangethroat darter), 118 nucleotides. RefSeq lists it as uncharacterized. NCBI's taxonomy places the organism in Eukaryota, Metazoa, Chordata, Actinopteri, Perciformes, Percidae. The transcript has 3 exons. The record is from RefSeq and is a predicted model, not a curated record.